AUGUGGCCCGAUCGAAGCCGUCUGCAGUGCUAUACUGUACGUCAGUCAAAACGCGGCCGAAAUAAAAGUUUGUCGUUAUGGUCGCAUUGUUGUAUACUUUUUACGAUGGUGCAUUACCCACGACAAAGACAAUU
Bicyclus anynana (squinting bush brown) is the source of this 134-nucleotide small nucleolar RNA. Lineage: Eukaryota; Metazoa; Arthropoda; Insecta; Lepidoptera; Nymphalidae. The record is from RefSeq and is a predicted model, not a curated record.